This 368-nucleotide ribosomal RNA is filed under the name uncultured Pseudomonas sp. RNAcentral's name for it is "bacterial SSU rRNA". It matches the Rfam family "Bacterial small subunit ribosomal RNA", at positions 1014 to 1382 of the family's 1533-position model. Lineage: Bacteria; Pseudomonadati; Pseudomonadota; Gammaproteobacteria; Pseudomonadales; Pseudomonadaceae. The record is from RNAcentral.
UGGCCUUCGGGAACUCUGACACAGGUGCUGCAUGGCUGUCGUCAGCUCGUGCGUGAGAUGUUGGGUUAAGUCCCGUAACGAGCGCAACCCUUGUCCUUAGUUACCAGCACGUUAUGGUGGGCACUCUAAGGAGACUGCCGGUGACAAACCGGAGGAAGGUGGGGAUGACGUCAAGUCAUCAUGGCCCUUACGGCCUGGGCUACACACGUGCUACAAUGGUCGGUACAAAGGGUUGCCAAGCCGCGAGGUGGAGCUAAUCCCAUAAAACCGAUCGUAGUCCGGAUCGCAGUCUGCAACUCGACUGCGUGAAGUCGGAAUCGCUAGUAAUCGUGAAUCAGAAUGUCACGGUGAAUACGUUCCCGGGCCUU